GCUGAUGCGUUGUUGGGUAGGGGAGCGUUCUGUAAGCCUGCGAAGGUGACCUGUGAGGGUUGCUGGAGGUAUCAGAAGUGCGAAUGCUGACAUAAGUAACGAUAAAGCGGGUGAAAAGCCCGCUCGCCGGAAGACCAAGGGUUCCUGUCCAACGUUAAUCGGGGCAGGGUGAGUCGACCCCUAAGGCGAGGCCGAAAGGCGUAGUCGAUGGGAAACGGGUUAAUAUUCCCGUACUUGGUGUUACUGCGAAGGGGGGACGGAGAAGGCUAUGUUGGCCGGGCGACGGUUGUCCCGGUUUAAGCGUGUAGGUGUGUGUUCCAGGUAAAUCCGGUUCACUUUAACACUGAGGCGUGACGACGAGGCACUACGGUGCUGAAGCAACAAAUGCCCUGCUUCCAGGAAAAGCCUCUAAGCAUCAGGUAACACGAAAUCGUACCCCAAACCGACACAGGUGGUCAGGUAGAGAAUACCAAGGCGCUUGAGAGAACUCGGGUGAAGGAACUAGGCAAAAUGGUGCCGUAACUUCGGGAGAAGGCACGCUGACACGUAGGUGAAGUGAUUUACUCAUGGAGCUGAAGUCAGUCGAAGAUACCAGCUGGCUGCAACUGUUUAUUAAAAACACAGCACUGUGCAAACACGAAAGUGGACGUAUACGGUGUGACGCCUGCCCGGUGCCGGAA
Molecule: ribosomal RNA, 680 nt
Filed under: Salmonella enterica subsp. enterica serovar Typhimurium
Lineage: Bacteria; Pseudomonadati; Pseudomonadota; Gammaproteobacteria; Enterobacterales; Enterobacteriaceae
Description: partial 23S ribosomal RNA
Rfam family: Bacterial large subunit ribosomal RNA
Source: RNAcentral